Molecule: long non-coding RNA, 1327 nt
Filed under: Homo sapiens (human)
Lineage: Eukaryota; Metazoa; Chordata; Mammalia; Primates; Hominidae
Description: HSALNT0322052
Source: RNAcentral
AUCUUGCAGUGGAUGCAGGGAGGGACCAUGCCUCUAGCAUUCUCUGGGAAGAAUAAAGGAGAAGUUUAUCUUCCCACCUACCUCCCAUUGCCUGUUUUUCAUUGGUCAAAACUUGUCCCACUAGGAAUUAACUCCUUCACAUUUCCAAGUUUAUAUCAUAUGACUGCUCCAACUACAUGGGACCCCAAACCCCAAACCUGAUGUAUGUAUAGUGUUCCUGUUUCAUCCAAGCCUGGAAAUGAGGGGAAGAGCCAGAACCUCUAGGCUUGGUGCUCUGGAAAAAGAAUUAGAAUUGCAUUCAAAUAGUCAGGCUUCAAGUUGCUUCUGCCUCUGUGUGAAGCAAAUAGUAACAACUCACUUCGAAACUCAGGCUCCUGGACUGUAAAUGAGGAUAAUGAUACUCACCCUACCAACCUCAGGGACUGUUCUAAGAGCAAAAUGAAAUGAGACUGAGCUCUGAAAAUGCUUAAAUGCUUUUCAAAGUAGAGUGAUCGUGCUUUCUGUAGCAUCAAAACAGUCCUCUAUAAAUGGGCAAAGUCAAGGCAUGGACUGGAUCUGACAACAGAGAAUGGCUUGAGGGCUGGAAAAAGAAAAAAAUGCAAAUGCCCCAAAUCUCUGCUUCCCUUACAGUGUGGAAAUCGCCCCAUAACACACUGCACCAGAUAGGGCCUAAAGCCAAUAAUGAGUGUCUAAGACAGAAGAAGACACAAAGAAGAAGAGACGGGAAUGUGGUCACAGAGGCAGAGACUGGAGCAAUGCAGCCACAAGCCAAGGAACACCUGGACCCACCAGAAGCUGGAAGAGGAAAGAAGGGAUUUCUUUUUCUUCUAGAGCCUUGGGAGGGAGCAUGGCCCUGCUGACAACUUAUUUUCAGACUUCUAGAUUCUAGAACUAUCAGAUAAUAAAUUUAUAUUGUUUUAAGCCACUAUGUUUGUGGUGAUUUGUUCUAGCAGUCCUAGGAAACCAAUGCAGUAUUUAAUACAGAGUGCCCGGUACAAUGUUGGCAUGUGACAAGCACUCAGCAAAUGGUAGUUGCAUAGUGAGUUCUCCUCCUGUCCCCACUACCUCCUCAAUGAGUAAAUGCCUGAACAAAUCCAUAGGCAGCCAUCUGAGAGCCUGACUCCAGGGAGCAGGGGGUACAGUUAGCCUCAGCCCAUGCUAAAAUAGAAGCCUGACCUUAGUUUGGUUAAUGCCACACUCUACCACAGGCAAUUGACACCAGGGCUCUCCCAUUUUAUAAUAGCGCAGAUCCAGUCUCAUUAUGCAUUAAAGAGUUUGUUCCCCUAAAACUCUUACUGCCCCCAAAGGUUUAGAAUUUAAAAAUAAC